GAUGAACGCAGGCGGCGUGCUUAACACAUGCAAGUCGAACGAUGAAGCCCAGCUUGCUGGGUGGAUUAGUGGCGAACGGGUGAGUAACACGUGAGUAACCUGCCCUUGACUCUGGGAUAAGCCUGGGAAACUGGGUCUAAUACUGGAUAUGACUUCUCAUCGCAUGGUGGGGGGUGGAAAGAUUUAUUGGUCUUGGAUGGACUCGCGGCCUAUCAGCUUGUUGGUGAGGUAAUGGCUCACCAAGGCGACGACGGGUAGCCGGCCUGAGAGGGUGACCGGCCACACUGGGACUGAGACACGGCCCAGACUCCUACGGGAGGCAGCAGUGGGGAAUAUUGCACAAUGGGCGCAAGCCUGAUGCAGCGACGCCGCGUGAGGGAUGACGGCCUUCGGGUUGUAAACCUCUUUCAGUAGGGAAGAAGCGAGAGUGACGGUACCUGCAGAAGAAGCGCCGGCUAACUACGUG
This 466-nucleotide ribosomal RNA is filed under the name uncultured bacterium. RNAcentral's name for it is "partial 16S ribosomal RNA". It matches the Rfam family "Bacterial small subunit ribosomal RNA", at positions 28 to 507 of the family's 1533-position model. The record is from RNAcentral.